Peromyscus maniculatus bairdii (prairie deer mouse) is the source of this 1472-nucleotide non-coding RNA. The record is from RefSeq and is a predicted model, not a curated record. Lineage: Eukaryota; Metazoa; Chordata; Mammalia; Rodentia; Cricetidae.
GUUACUCUGGGAGAUGCUUUCUGGGUAUCACUAAGAAGACUCUCUCUUUGCAAGAUGACUAGGUCCUUAGUUGUAGCCACAGGCUACCUCCUGCUCAGCUCCUGCCUCCACUGAUACAAGCUGCCUGACAGAGUGAGGUGUCUCCAGUCCCUCAUACUGCCAGGAUGGUUUCCUGGAGAUUGAGCCCAGUUUUCUUCCUCCAUGCUCUCAGUCAGCUUGUGGGUCCAAGCUAAACUACUGGACAGGUUCUAGGAAACCAUGUGGCCAGGCGGGAUCUCCUCUCCAGUUGCUGAGAGCAGCCUUGGUUUCAUAAAACUUCUAGACUUGAUGAGCGUUGACAACAUCAUGUGCUACCACGUGGCCCACCCUGUAAGAGAGCCUCUGUUCAUCCUCUUGCCGCGUUGGUUACUUCUCGUCGCUGUGAUAAAGGACCUGAAAAAACGCUUCUUUGAGGGAGGAAGGAUUCUGGCUUGUGGGUCGAGAGGGUACAGUACAUCACGCUGUGAGGCAAGAAGCAACUCAGAAGAGUCACCAAGUCCCUGCCGUCAGCAGCUGCUAGCCUGCCCAGUAUCACCCUGAUCGCUCCCCUCCUCAGUCGCCCAUCUUGCCACACAUCACACAUCACCGAGUCAGAAGUGCCCGACGUGGCCUCACAUUCCUUCCCUUCUGGAUGGUUCCCUACCUCUGUCCCCAACUCUCCAGUAAUUCUGUAUAUUAAAGUCAAGUCUUGAAGAAUCAAAUUCCAUCACCACCAUCUCAAAAUAGCUGCCCCUGAUAAUCAAUAUGCAAAAAUGUCUUUUUCAUUCAAUUUUCACAGCAAACCCAAGAGCCAUAGAUCUGCCAUUUUAUUAAUGAGGAAACUGAGGCACAGGAAGGUUGGGGUCCAGGUCUCCUCACUUGAGUCUGGGUGCGGACAGUGAACAGCGUCCGAACUGUGCACGUGUCUCUCGUGUUGAAAUAGGACAGUCCUGAAGAAAGGGCUGUCUGUGCACGUGGCCAAGAGCACAGGAAAGGAUAGAAAAGGAGCUGGAGAGGGACAGCAAUGGGAAGUCUCCUGGGGAUCAUUUCGGGGGUUGGGUUGGGCACUGACACCCCCAAGGACCCACAUUUUCUUUCCUCCAACACACGUUAAUUGAGGGCCUGCUACAUGUUGACCUAGCUCCAGAUGAAGGAAUCAAAUAGCUUCCACCUGGGAACUUCUAAUAGUCAAGACAAAUUUAAAAUAUGCAUGCUGUGCCUGGGGACAUGCUGUAAUUCCAGCCACUCUGGAAGCUGGGGCUGGACCCCUGGCUCAGUGGUUAAGAGCACCUGUUGCUCUUGCAGAGGACCAGAGUUUGGUUCCCACCACCUACAUGGUGGCUCACAGCUGCCUGUAGGUCCAAUCCCAGGGGAAUGGAGAGCCUCUUCUGAGGGCUCUGUACACAUAUGGUGCAUGUAAACUCAAGCAGACACAUGAACACACAUAAAAAACA